AACGAACGCUGGCGGCAUGCCUAACACAUGCAAGUCGAACGAGACCUUCGGGUCUAGUGGCGCACGGGUGCGUAACGCGUGGGAACCUGCCCUUAGGUUCGGAAUAACUCCCCGAAAGGGGUGCUAAUACCGGAUAAUGUCUUCGGACCAAAGAUUUAUCGCGUUUGGAUGGGCCCGCGUUGGAUUAGCUAGUUGGUAGUGUAAAAGCCUACCAAGGCGACGAUCCAUAGCUGGUCUGAGAGGAUGAUCAGCCACACUGGGACUGAGACACGGCCCAGACUCCUACGGGAGGCAGCAGUGGGGAAUAUUGGACAAUGGGCGAAAGCCUGAUCCAGCAAUGCCGCGUGAGUGAUGAAGGCCUUAGGGUUGUAAAGCUCUUUUACCCGGGAUGAUAAUGACAGUACCGGGAGAAUAAGCUCCGGCUAACUCCGUG
This 433-nucleotide ribosomal RNA is filed under the name uncultured bacterium. RNAcentral describes it as "partial 16S ribosomal RNA". It matches the Rfam family "Bacterial small subunit ribosomal RNA", at positions 29 to 507 of the family's 1533-position model. The record is from RNAcentral.